AGGAUACCAUGUUGUGUUUACA
RNAcentral lists this microRNA (22 nucleotides) under Lottia gigantea (owl limpet). RNAcentral describes it as "Lgi-Mir-317_5p* (star (passenger))". Lineage: Eukaryota; Metazoa; Mollusca; Gastropoda; Lottiidae. The record is from RNAcentral.